CGGCCCGGUCCCGCCAGGAUCGCGCUGGCCCCGCUUCGCUGUCGGGAGCGACGGCAUCCGCACAGCCAGAGGGACGGAGCUGGCAGAGAGGUUGGAUUCGAUGAUCUCGGAAGUCUUUUCCAAGCCAAUUGAUGCCCUGUUUCUGUAACGCUGGCGGAGUGCGCCCGCUGCCUCCGUCAGGGGCCAGGAAGCCCCCCCAGAUGACAUUCCUGCCUGGAACAGAUACAACUGCAGUGUGAAUGGAGAGCUAUCCUCAUAUGGCUGCAAGCACGCAAUGCUGAUGGGCGAGUUAAGUGUCCUUAGCCACCCCUUCUCUCUCUGCAGUAAAUUCACCUCUUGGGCACAAGGGCCUGGAGUAUGAAGCUGCUGCUGUGCUAGUGCUACUCCCAGCUGUGCUGCUGUCACUGUGCUGCUACAGUUGUGAGUGCUAGAACACACGCCUUAAACAGCUAGAAUACUUUUGUUGCUGCAGAGAUUGUUGGAAAGGAACUCUUGCAAAUCUGGAUAUCAAACUUGCUGGGCACAUACGCUGUCAGAGUUGGCAACAAAGGAGCAGCACGAGAAACUGCCAUUUUCACUCAGAGGACCUUAGGUCAGUCAUGAGCCUCCCACUCCAUAAGCCAUGAGAACCUCCAGGGAGCUGACACCAGGGAAGCUCUGAGGACCAGAAGAGCCUGUGGGUAACCUGCUGGAAACCAGGGACUAUCCAUGGUGUGACCUUACCCCAACUCUACCCACGAUAGUGGUCUGGCAGUGCUGAUAACAUCUCAGCACCCAAAGAGCCCACUGCUCUGUUCAGACCUGGAUGGACGAAGUGCAAGGCAAGUUUGAGGGAUAAGUAUUGCAUUAUUAUAAUGAAUAAAUUGUAGGCUAGCAGUUCUAAUUUAUAAGAUUUAAAUCUAGGAUCUAAAUGAUGUAACAUCCAUGGAAUCCCUUUUGUCUUCUCCUUUUAGUGUACUUUCCUCCUCAAUCUCUUUUUAUAUAAUCUCUGGUUUAUUAUAUGUAAUACUGGUGUAUUCAGCAGCUAAGUUUGCUUGCUGAUCACCAGAAACUCAGCUGCCACUAGUAGUUGGGAUGGUGCCAGAAUCCCUGCAGGGAGAGCAACAGGGGAUUCUGCUGCUCUGAAAGGUCAGGGUACCUUAUGAAGAACAGCAUCCAUGGAGAGUUGCUAGUGGCUGAUUACCUUCUUUUUUUGUACCAUGGAACACAUUAGGCUGGAAUUGUCUAAGAUCUUAAAACAAGGCAGUGACAGAGCUGGAAAUAAUCUGAAAAAACCUGGAGGCAGGUGCUAUUUGUAACAUAUUUUCUGCAAAUACUUCUUUAUUUGGACAGUUUUUGAUUGAUUAUUG
This is a long non-coding RNA of Pseudopodoces humilis (Tibetan ground-tit), 1349 nucleotides long. RefSeq lists it as uncharacterized. NCBI's taxonomy places the organism in Eukaryota, Metazoa, Chordata, Aves, Passeriformes, Paridae. The record is from RefSeq and is a predicted model, not a curated record.